UACGGAGGGGGCAAGCGUUAUUCGGAAUUAUUGGGCGUAAAGGGCGCGUAGGCGGCUAGAUGUGUCAAAGGUGAAAUCCCUCGGCUCAACUGAGGAACUGCCUUUGAAACUGUCUGGCUUGAGGCCGGGAGAGGGUAGCGGAAUUCCCAGUGUAGCUGUGAAAUGCGUAGAUAUUGGGAGGAACACCAGUGGCGAAGGCGGCUACCUGGACCGGUUCUGACGCUGAGGCGCGAAAGCGUGGGUAGCAAACAGG
Molecule: ribosomal RNA, 253 nt
Filed under: uncultured bacterium
Lineage: Bacteria
Description: partial 16S ribosomal RNA
Rfam family: Bacterial small subunit ribosomal RNA
Source: RNAcentral